RNAcentral lists this ribosomal RNA (245 nucleotides) under uncultured bacterium. Its description in RNAcentral is "partial 16S ribosomal RNA". It matches the Rfam family "Bacterial small subunit ribosomal RNA", at positions 88 to 334 of the family's 1533-position model. The record is from RNAcentral.
CGGUCGACCGGCGCACGGGUAAGUAACGCGUAUCCAACCUGCCCACCACUUGGGAUAACCUUGCGAAAGUAAGACUAAUACCCAAUGAUAUCUCUAGAAGACAUCUGAAAGAGAUUAAAGAUUCAUCGGUGAUGGAUGGGGAUGCGUCUGAUUAGCUUGUUGGCGGGGUAACGGCCCCCCAAGGCAACGAUCAGUAGGGGUUCUGAGAGGAAGGUCCCCCACAUUGGAACUGAGACACGGUCCAA